Non-coding RNA from Oryza glumipatula, 110 nucleotides. The record is from Rfam. Lineage: Eukaryota; Viridiplantae; Streptophyta; Magnoliopsida; Poales; Poaceae.
GCGCUUGGCGAAUUCACAGGCCCUAUCUUGUGGUAUGAACUGAGUACGCGAUGAUUUGCACUGCGUAUUGGGGGCUUACCAUAAGAUAAUGCCAUGAAUUUGUCAAGCGU